Molecule: non-coding RNA, 19 nt
Filed under: Rattus norvegicus (Norway rat)
Lineage: Eukaryota; Metazoa; Chordata; Mammalia; Rodentia; Muridae
Source: RNAcentral
UGGAUAACAUAUCAAGGUA